This 255-nucleotide ribosomal RNA is filed under the name uncultured bacterium. Its description in RNAcentral is "partial 16S ribosomal RNA". It matches the Rfam family "Bacterial small subunit ribosomal RNA", at positions 129 to 386 of the family's 1533-position model. The record is from RNAcentral.
CCCUAGAGUGGGGGAUAACGUAGCGAAAGUUACGCUAAUACCGCAUACGAUCUAAGGGUGAAAGUGGGGGAUCGCAAGACCUCAUGCUCGUGGAGCGGCCAAUAUCUGAUUAGCUAGUUGGUAGGGUAAAAGCCUACCAAGGCAUCGAUCAGUAGCUGGUCUGAGAGGACGACCAGCCACACUGGAGCUGAGACACGGUCCACACUCCUACGGGAGGCAGCAGUGGGGAAUUUUGGACAAUGGGCGAAAGCCUGA